Long non-coding RNA from Malus domestica (apple), 562 nucleotides. RefSeq lists it as uncharacterized. Lineage: Eukaryota; Viridiplantae; Streptophyta; Magnoliopsida; Rosales; Rosaceae. The record is from RefSeq and is a predicted model, not a curated record.
UUCACUCUCUUUCCCUCAUCACUCACUCUCUCUCAUCUCAAACUCUCUCACUGCUCUCAAAACACCACCAUUGCCACUGUCCACCCCCUCUGGCGAGCUCCACAUGAACCACCAUAGCAACCACUUGCUGUAGAUUUCUCAGCAAAUCACCACUAACCUCGAACUCCCCCAAAACACUAUUGUCUCUCCUUUGCAAACGAAAACAAACCACUGUUGACACCAUGUUCUCCAGCAAGAUCUUUGCUUUCCGACUAAUGGUGAGAUUACUAUCGAAGACUCCGACUUCCCUCGUUCGAAUGGCUACAACUUUGCAAGUAUCUGUGAGCGGAUCUUUUCUUUUAUAUAGUAUUUAUACUUAUUGAGUUUCCAUAUAUAUAAUUAUUAAUGAAUUUUCUACGUGAUUGCCAUAAUUAAUUAACGGUUGUAAGGAAAUGUCGUAUUGUUGGGAAAUUAUUAUUAAUCGUAUGGGAUACACAGGUAAGCGGACUAUGGAGAAUACCUUAUUUACAUUUAUGGUAGUGAAUAGUAUUAUGACGACAUAAAUUAUUGAUUUACCGUUGUA